This is a long non-coding RNA of Hypanus sabinus (Atlantic stingray), 323 nucleotides long. RefSeq lists it as uncharacterized. NCBI's taxonomy places the organism in Eukaryota, Metazoa, Chordata, Chondrichthyes, Myliobatiformes, Dasyatidae. The record is from RefSeq and is a predicted model, not a curated record. The transcript is spliced from 3 exons.
AGCAGAGAGCUCCCCGAGGCCCGGGCACGGAUCAUGAGGCCGAGAGAGAGGGGGAAAGGUCCCAGGUUUGCGGCACCACAGUGUGUCCGGAGCUCUCAGUAAUUGUACCUCAAUCGCGAUGGCUCCUCCGUAGUACAGAUGAUGAGAGGGAACUGAGUACGGUGUAUAUGUAGAGGAUGAAGAUGGCCUGGAAAGGAGAACAUACAACUAAAAAAAACAAAUACUGGAGCGUACGGCGGCAACCGACAGCGAGUUCACGGACAGGUUGACCCAGCUGACGACGAACAUUGAAAAACUGACUAACUGUUGCAUUAAUAAAGCAC